This 1891-nucleotide long non-coding RNA is filed under the name Toxoplasma gondii VEG. Lineage: Eukaryota; Apicomplexa; Conoidasida; Eucoccidiorida; Sarcocystidae. The record is from RNAcentral.
GCCUAGUACUUCCAUUGCAUCCUUACACGUCAGUAGCGAACGGCUGCAAUGUUUAGUCACAUAGCGAGCCUCUGAUUACCAGCUAAUUUCGUGUACCGAUCAUUUUCUCCCCUCCAGGGAGUUCCGUCUGUGUAAAAGCACGGGCGGCUACUAUAGGGGACAAGUGUAAACGUGGACAUGAAGUGGCCUCCAAGGCUGCACGUCUCCGGCCUGUCUAGUUUCAGCGGGGAUACCAACGAAUCAGCUGGAUAUGUUGUGAGAGAAGACAGUGGCCCGUUCGAAUCUGCUGCAGAUGGAUCGAGCUUCAUGGUGGAGAGAUGCGACGUGCCAACUGUUUUGCGUGAAAUUCAGGGUUCGGUUUUUCGCCACUCCAGGUCAAGCACGUGUGCCGCGCCAUGCAAGGUAAACGCGACACCAUGCCACCUUGUCACUGCGGGUGAAAAGUUGUUACCGCAGAUCGUCUGAACAGUUUAGAUCUUCGCUGCCUCGUUAUAAAAAUGCCACUGCGAAGAUAAGAUGUCUUAUGCGUUCCACUUGAGACCGACUGCUGGGCUCUCGGCGACGUUGUCUGACAGUUGAUACGGAGAAACUAGACACUGUGAGGCCGCUCGAAUCAGCCAGACACAGCAGGAGGUAUGCUAUCGUAAUGGAUAUGUGAUGACCGCAGAGAGACUUCAACUUGCACCUACUCCAGAGGCAACAUGCAAGGAUACUUUCCUGUCCUCUCAGCGAGGCGAUAACAGAACACAGGACAUUCGAGAUAGACAAUUUGCUCACGAAAAAUUCCCCCGACUUGUCGGAGUCAGUUGAAUUGUGGUGGUACGAUGCAGUUAUUUGUCUUGGUAUUUCCUUUUCCACGUGGAUUUGGAUGCUCGCCCCACCCCACUUGUUUUGUCUUUCUAGAGAAGCACACAGGUUCAACCGGAUGCAUGAUGCAUCAUCCUCACUUCCUCCUUCAGGAACUUCCCCGCCAGAGGGUGCUUUCCCUCGCUGUGAAAUGAAUGGAGGGUACGAAAAAUGUUUUGCAUCCUUGGAUACCGAUCAUUUGUGAUAGCAAAGGUUCCGAACUCUUACAUCUAGAUCUUCAAUGGCGUGACCACACGCUUCGUUUGGUGCAUCACGCUGGAGAGGGGAUUGUUUCAGAGGUGUGAUGUUCCAACGUGUGGUAACUGUCUCUCGGAAACUGGUUGUUCGUACCUGAGGAGAACGCGUUCAAGACAAAUCUGACGCUCUGAGGUUUUGGCUCGGCGGCUGAACCAGAGAAGCUGCAGAAAACGAGCUAGAGUGACAUCGGUAAGUCUCCUGCACUGGUCUUGCUCAAAGAGUGCAGACUGAUUCACUGCCGUGCAAACACACCAGGACCGUAUGCCCGUGCCAGAUGAAAGGCACAUCAACUCCUUCAAAAAGUCCUCGGUUGAAGGAUUGAAAUAUCCAUACGUGUCAACUUUUCCGUCCGACAAGUAUGCUGUGUUGGAGCACGUUGGGACAGGGAAGGACAUAUACGUAACCAGCCGAUAUCGGUCGACAAGGCUGUGUCAGCAGGCACAGUCGCGCUGUGAAAACAAUUCUAGUGGUCUCCAUUAAUUUACUACGCAAGCGUGCUAUGUCUACAGAUGUAGCCGCACUACCAGGAUGGAGCUCUACGAAAACGCAACGCUCAAACCCCAGACGCGUGUGCGCUUCUAAAACAUCUCCGUUCCAGAACCACGGACGGCAAUGCAACGUAGCGGCAGCGAGUCCAUCGGUCGUGCAGAAUUAGAUAAACUCGCCUGAGCGCUUGUAGAUGCAUUUUUACACUGCAAAGAGAUUCACGACCGUAAGCAAGUCCUUUCCGCUGAGUCCCGGUGGCCGGUGCUUGUACUUUAUAGAACUACGUAGCUUCAACGGACAG